CCGAACCGGCGGGUGCCGAUUAAAGGCGCCGCCUGCCGCUUUCUCCUCGCCCCCCAGCGCCGCAGCUCUCCGCCCCCUUCCCGAGUAGCGGGACCGGCCUUGAUAGCCCGGGCGCCCGCCCAGCGCGGAGACGGGCGCGCGGGGUCUCUCCGCGGCGGGGGCGCCGGGCCUCGGGGGAGCGCAGAAGUAGCCGCCCGGGGGUCAGGCCGGAGCGCCGCCGGGGCUUCUCCCUCCCUCCCUCGCCGGUUGCCUUUUUUUCCACUUCUCUCCCUCCCCCUUCCGUUUCUAUUUGUGAAGGGAGGAGGAAGGCAGAGGCGGGCUGGUGUCUCUGGCCGGGGACUGGAAUUUCAUCUGAAUGACUGCCCCUGCGCGCACGCAGCGCCCCGGAGUCGGCCCGCCCGCGCCCCGCAGCCCGCGCCCGGCCAGCCAGCCGGGGGACGCCUGCACCGUGGCCCGGGGACCGCCGGCCUGCCCCUCCCGCCCCGUCCGGAUCUAGCAGCCCUCGGCGCGGCCGCCCUCGCCUCCUGGCCCCGCAGACCCCGGGCUCCGGCCCCUGCGAGGGAGGUGCGGCGCCGACGAGCCAGGCAGGAGCCGCCGCUGCCGCCGCCGCCGGAAGAAGUGUGCUGCUCCCAAGCUCCGUCUGCCGCGGGGCGCGCCCCAAUGUCAGCCGCGGGGACGAGCGCAGGCCGCGGGCCGCCACUGCCCUAGCCGCGCCGACGGGGAGGCGGCCUCUUAUAUGGAAUUUGGACCCCGGCGCUCCCCUCCAAGGCUGGAGUCCCGGCCGCGGCCCUGGCGCAGUCCGCCGCCUCCCGCUAGGCGCUCGGGAGGAGGAGGAGACGCAGCCCGCUGCGCGCGCGGCGUGAGGACCGCGGCUCCCUCCUCCGGGGGGCGGGCACGCGGAAGG
RNAcentral lists this long non-coding RNA (904 nucleotides) under Homo sapiens (human). Its description in RNAcentral is "HSALNT0359748". Lineage: Eukaryota; Metazoa; Chordata; Mammalia; Primates; Hominidae. The record is from RNAcentral.